GCAGAGGCGUGCAUCGCCUUCCGGACGAGGGGUGCCGUACCCGGUGAGCGACAAGACGGCCCGUA
This 65-nucleotide non-coding RNA is filed under the name Arthrobacter sp. RNAcentral also lists the same sequence under 1 other name. The record is from RNAcentral. Lineage: Bacteria; Bacillati; Actinomycetota; Actinomycetes; Micrococcales; Micrococcaceae.